GUACUUCUAUAAUGACUUCACCAUUUAAGUUAUUUGGUUAUGUUUCACCCUGGAUUUUGCCUGAUAAUAUUUAUUUUGUCCAUUGCUUUAAAAACAAAACAAAACAAAAAAACUAUAUAAAUAUAAAACAGAGUGUGAACAACAAAACAUCAGCUUUGGAAACUUUGAUGUAAAAUUCUGCAAUUGUUUUCUCAGGAUAUAGCAUGAAUAAAACUAAUAUAGAUCAGUGUAUUAUUAAUGCGCACACACACACACACACACACACACACACACACGCACAAAGUGUUACAAUAAACAGCUCUUAUGCUUCUGUAUAAUUCUCAAUGCUUUCCAUUUGUGUGUCCACAGAUUGCAGAUAAGUGGUACUUGACUGAAGUUUGCUCUAAUUUCAGGUGGUUUGUCUGUCGCAAAGCCAAUAUGAAGUCCGGCCAUGGUUGAGCCAACUGAAGAUGGGUUUUAAGGUGGUGUUCUCAUUUCCUCUCGAUACAUGUUGAAAAAUGGAGACUUUAGCCACCAAGACUGACGUGCCUGGAAACUUCCCUGUGAGUACGCCCACAAAGACAGGAAACAGUUUAACCACCACGGUUAAUCCUCCAUCAUCAUCAUCAUCAGUAUUACUUUUUUUCACAUCUUUUCUUCUGCUGUUUCCCUUUUUGUCAGUCACGGGCUUUGUGACUGAAAUGCGUGUGGUCGAUGGGAAGCCUGACGAGUACGGCCUGAAUCAUUACAUCAACACCGGACGGAGUGAAACCUUUGUUGAAAACAGAUUAUAUGGUAAAGUUGCAUUUAGCUGUGUUCAGUAAACUGUGAAGUAAAGUUACAGCAGCAGAUUUACAUCACGUGGUUUCACAGGACGUAGUCUGGACCUCAGCGCUGAGGAGAAGUUCAACCAGCUCUGCUUGCAGACGGCAUCCUUCCUGAAAAUAUUCUUCAUCUUCCUAAAACCGGAACUUUUACAUUGGUGCUGAAGUUCUAUAUAAAAAUAGCUUGAAAUACAAACUGAUGUUGUGCACUGAUUACCUCACACUCUCCAUGUUUCCUUCUACACAGGAGUGUCCGCUUCAGUGCUUUGUCUGACUGAUCUGUUGUUGAUCGUCUCACCAACGCUGCAUAAAGAUCUGACACCAUCUGUUAUGGAAAUGUGACUGAGCAACAUCUGGAGCAGUUUUUAACAAUAAAAAUGCAAAAAUCUAGAAUGUUUUUCUUCAUUAUUCAUCCUUUAUAUGAAAUAAACUGAAGAACAUCCA
Oreochromis niloticus (Nile tilapia) is the source of this 1247-nucleotide long non-coding RNA. RefSeq lists it as uncharacterized. The record is from RefSeq and is a predicted model, not a curated record. The transcript has 2 exons. NCBI's taxonomy places the organism in Eukaryota, Metazoa, Chordata, Actinopteri, Cichliformes, Cichlidae.